GACGAACGCUGGCGGCGUGCCUAAUACAUGCAAGUCGAACGAAGCUGUUUUAACUGGUGCUUGCACCGACUUAAACAACUGAGUGGCGAACGGGUGAGUAACACGUGGGUAACCUGCCCCAAAGCGGGGGAUAACAUUUGGAAACAGAUGCUAAUACCGCAUAACCACAGAAACCACAUGGUUUCUGUGUCAAAGAUGGUUUCGGCUAUCACUUUGGGAUGGACCCGGGGCGUAUUAGCUAGUUGGUAAGGUAAUGGCUUAACAAGGCAAUGAUACGUAGCCGAACUGAGAGGUUGAUCGGCCACAUUGGGACUGAGACACGGCCCAAACUCCUACGGGAGGCAGCAGUAGGGAAUCUUCCACAAUGGACGAAAGUCUGAUGGAGCAACGCCGCGUGAGUGAAGAAGGUUUUCGGAUCGUAAAACUCUGUUGUCAGAGAAGAACGUGUGCGAGAGUAACUGUUCGUGCAGUGACGGUAUCUGGCCAGAAAGCCACGGCUAACUACGUGCCAGCCGCCGCCGUAA
Molecule: ribosomal RNA, 524 nt
Filed under: uncultured bacterium
Lineage: Bacteria
Description: partial 16S ribosomal RNA
Rfam family: Bacterial small subunit ribosomal RNA
Source: RNAcentral